RNAcentral lists this long non-coding RNA (889 nucleotides) under Manacus vitellinus (golden-collared manakin). RNAcentral describes it as "lncRNA (ENSMVIG00005003750.1)". Lineage: Eukaryota; Metazoa; Chordata; Aves; Passeriformes; Pipridae. The record is from RNAcentral.
CUUGAUUUCAACUAUAAUUUCAGUGGUCUGCUGAAUAAAGAGGUGCCUUUGUACUGCAGUCACCUCCAAUGCCUGGCUUUGGCCCAUUGGUGUGCAUGCAGCUCCUGCCAGCCUCUCCCACCACCUCCUUCCCCUGGGUUUUUGGGAACCUGAGUGGGAUCUUGAUGCAAAGGGGAACUGAGGAACUCAUUAAAGAAGAAAUAUUCUGUACUCUGACAUCCUUAUGCACAUCCCACUUGUAAGAAACCACUGCAAUGUAAACGAUGAGGAAUUUGCAAUUCAGCCCAUCUAGACCCAACAUCAGCAUCUCUUCCUAUUGCACAGGAAUGUGGAACAUAAAUAACAAACACUCAGAAUUGCAGAUAAACUGGAACGUCAGAUGACUUUAAGUGGUGCAAAAACUACGAGGAUCUGAAUCAGUUUAAGAUUUGAAAUUAAGACAGUCAUUUUCUGGAGUCCCAUCUGGCAGAUAAUUGUUCCCUAUUAAGUAGCAAUUUGGAAAGAAAUGCAGGGGGAAAAGUCAGAUUGAAAUAUUUAGAAACAUAUUUCUCUAGCAUUUAAAGCUCUCUUUGAAGUCUUUGGGAAAUCUAUCAAAUACAUGGUUUUUUUUAAGACGGUAACAAUUCAACAACAAUUGCAUAGAAAAUUAAGACAUUGAGAAAAUGAAAAUCGAUCCUUUAUAAAUACUAACCUUAAUCCAAAAAGUGUUGCAUAUUUGGUCAGACAAAAAGCAUAGUCACUUUUUUGUAAAGAAAUGGACUACAAAAUAUACUUUAAAAACAUGCUAGCUACUCUGAGAACUGGUUUAGAUAUGUUAUCAAGCAGCAGCUUUUUAUACAAUAGAGAAUAACAUAGUGCUGGUUUGGGAAAUAUUCUACAUUCAGAAAAU